This 255-nucleotide ribosomal RNA is filed under the name uncultured bacterium. RNAcentral's name for it is "partial 16S ribosomal RNA". It matches the Rfam family "Bacterial small subunit ribosomal RNA", at positions 524 to 776 of the family's 1533-position model. The record is from RNAcentral.
UACGGGGGGAGCAAGCGUUGUUCGGAUUUACUGGGCGUAAAGGGCGCGUAGGCGGCCACCGCAAGUCGGUUGUGAAAUCUCCGGGCUUAACCCGGAAAGGUCAAUCGAUACUGCGGGGCUAGAGUGCAGAAGGGGCAACUGGGAAUUCUCGGUGUAGCGGUGAAAUGCGUAGAUAUCGAGAGGAACACCUGCGGCGAAGGCGGGUUGCUGGGCUGACACUGACGCUGAAGCGCGAAAGCUAGGGGAGCGAACGGG